AUGGAGCUCCGCCACCGGCCGAGUCCGGCGCGACCGACUAGAUCCGGUCGCCCCUCGUCUUCCCCUCCACGCAAGCACCUGCGAGCCACCCGGUCUUCCCGGAGCUCUUCACCGCGUCUACACCAAGUCCCCGUUAGAUGCGACCAUGACCCUCCGCACAACAGUUCCACCGGGAAUCAAACCAGAACGAUGCGUCGCAUCCGAAUCCGCACGUCCCGUGGCCGCCCACUUUCCACACCUCUAUUUCAUUCGAGUGAGGAGGAUGCCCCAUCUUCCAUUGACCGCAUCGUGCUGGCCUGGCACCGCGCCAAUGCACGGGCCAUGAUCUCCCCAAGGCUCAGCCGCCUACUUCCUUCUAGAUGGCCCGCUACCUCCUCCACCUUUUAA
Molecule: ribosomal RNA, 387 nt
Filed under: Triticum aestivum (bread wheat)
Lineage: Eukaryota; Viridiplantae; Streptophyta; Magnoliopsida; Poales; Poaceae
Description: partial small subunit ribosomal RNA
Source: RNAcentral